GAUGAACGCUGGCGGCGUGCCUAAUACAUGCAAGUCGAGCGAACAGACGAGGAGCUUGCUCCUCUGACGUUAGCGGCGGACGGGUGAGUAACACGUGGAUAACCUACCUAUAAGACUGGGAUAACUUCGGGAAACCGGAGCUAAUACCGGAUAAUAUAUUGAACCGCAUGGUUCAAUAGUGAAAGACGGUUUUGCUGUCACUUAUAGCUGGAUCCGCGCCGCAUUAGCUAGUUGGUAAGGUAACGGCUUACCAAGGCAACGAUGCGUAGCCGACCUGAGAGGGUGAUCGGCCACCCUGGAACUGAGACACGGUCCAGACUCCUACGGGAGGCAGCAGUAGGGAAUCUUCCGCAAUGGGCGAAAGCCUGACGGAGCAACGCCGCGUGAGUGAUGAAGGUCUUCGGAUCGUAAAACUCUGUUAUUAGGGAAGAACAAAUGUGUAAGUAACUAUGCACGUCUUGACGGUACCUAAUCAGAAAGCCACGGCUAACUACGUG
Molecule: ribosomal RNA, 497 nt
Filed under: uncultured bacterium
Lineage: Bacteria
Description: partial 16S ribosomal RNA
Rfam family: Bacterial small subunit ribosomal RNA
Source: RNAcentral